Molecule: long non-coding RNA, 3915 nt
Filed under: Nicotiana benthamiana
Lineage: Eukaryota; Viridiplantae; Streptophyta; Magnoliopsida; Solanales; Solanaceae
Description: long non-coding RNA (NBEN_LNC035688)
Source: RNAcentral
CAUAUAUGAUAUAAUGACAUUUAUUCCAUAAAUAUUAAUUUCAGGCCGGAGAUCUCAAGCACUACAUUAACUAAUAAAUAACAAAGUUUAUUUCAAAUGAGUAUACUUGCAAUGAACUUUGGAGAAGGAAUAUUUCAUAUACUACAUCAAAUAAUAAAACCAAUUGUUCCAAGGUGCCUGCCAGCCAUUAACCUUACAAAACCAUAUAUAUUUAUAUUAUAUCAUAAACAAUAUAAUAGUCCAAAACUCAGCGUCAUUAGCUUCCGAUAAAUCAAUUUGAUCUAGUUCACCAUUUUCAAUCCCAUCUCAAGAAUUUUCCUACAAAUUUAAAAUCGAAUUAAAAGUUAGAUAGAAACCAAUAUUAUACAAGUGCAAAUUCAAAUGAGCAUAUUUUCACCAAUCAAAAGCACAACACUAUUAAUAGUGAAAAAGUAGUACUACAGGGGCAGGAGACAAUGGCUGAGAGGACAAAUAGAAAGCAAUAGCCAUUUGACAUUGAGAGUAAUUUCUUAUGUGUUUUAGUGAGUACAUAUAGAACAGAUUACACCACCACAAGCGAAUAACUUUAUACAAUUCUAUUUAAGUUGUCCUUGUUAUUUAGGAGGACUACAAACUUAACAGUGACAUUCUGAUAAAAUAUGUAAUAACAUACUAUCUAACUUAGCACACUUCUAAUUGGGAAAUCCCAAGCUCAUUGCAGUCCACUUAUCUUCACCAAUCAGAUGCACAAUACACACUCCCCAAUAGCAAGGUGAGAAGUUCUUGGAGGGAAGGAUGCCGGGGGUCUAUUUGGAAACAGCCUCUCUACUCAAGGGUAGGGGUAAGGUCCGUGUACACACUACCCUCCCCAGACCCCACUACGUGGGAUUAUACUGGGUUGUUGUUGUUUAUUUGUUAGUUAAUCAAGCCAUGCAUAAGAAUUAUCAAUUUUUACACUAUAAAAGCCUUAAUCCAUCUACUUCUUCCCCAAAUCAACCCCUCUUCUUAACAUUUCUUCCAAACCUUGACUUAUAUGGUCAAGUUAUAGGAGAAUUGCACCAUGUAGAAUAGAAAAUCUUUCUCAGUAACCUACGCGACUUGCUAAAUCGAUGCUUUCUUGUUCCUCCCUACGUUCUAUCCGAAUCCUAUCAUUCUGACUAAUCUGAAUUCUUAUCACGUAGACCUAUUAAAGGUGGAUUGUUAUUGUUGUUGUUCAACAGUAGUAUAUGUUCCACAAUUCCAUGUGCAAGAAGCUUAAAAGAUAAACAAUUGUAUGCCUGGAUAGAAAAAUUACCAGAUAUUGCUUAAGUAACCUUGUAAAGUGCAUUUCUCUACUUUGUGUCCUCAACUACAUUUUGCCACUGUGUGUCUCUUUUCAUGUGGUUAUGGACCAACAACCUUAAUACCAAGAGAAAGUCCAAAUCACAUCAAAAUCAACUGGCUAGAUUGGCGUCUAGUUAGAUUGAUAAUAAAUUAUAUACUAGUAGUUAUUGUAAUAAAGUUAUAGCCAUUAUUUAUUAUUGUACCAAUAUUUACACGUGCAAUAGAGAUAAUUUGCAAGCAUGAACUAAGUAGAAUUUGCAAUAGGCAGUGAAUCUGCAAAUUUCUAUUUUUUUCCUGUAUCAAUAGAUGAGCAAAAUGUAGGUAAAAAAUAAAAUAUCAACAUAAUGAACCUAACCAUAGAAUUUAUAUUAUAUAAGUAAUAUUCUCAAGUAUGGAGAAACAAAAGGAACCUAACCAUAUAGUUAGAUUGCUAUCAUAACGUUAUUAGUGAGAUGAAAGAUUUUAAAUGUUGCACUAAGAAAAUAACAAUUUGAUUCAAAAAGUAUAAUAUUAACACUGAUCUUUAUAACAGUGGAGGGCAAUUCACUAUUUUGAUAGAUACAGUGUGUAAGUUUCAUGGUGGCAUUUUACUACGAAAAAUAAUGUAGAUGAUAACAGCUAGCCAGCUACAAGGUAAUAUCACAAAACCACAAAAUAAAUAGUUAUCUGACUGUGACCAUGACAAAACAUGCACUCGCUGAUAAAUCAAUGCACACCUGAUUUUUCCCAGAAUGAUAACAUAUUCAUACCUAUCAAAAUAAAAUUAGUAUAUUCAUGCUAAUCCAUUAUUAAACCUUUUAGUAGUGAGAAAAUAUAUAUCCAAAGAAAAAAAAAGGAUAAAACACAAACUAAUCACGACACAUUUUUUAAAGGAAAGAAGCUUUGAGCUGAAACCAUAGAAAAGAGUAGGAUAACAUUAUUCUCAGUAAUAAUUAACAUAAAUUCAAUAAAGAAAAAAAUUGAGAGGAGCAUCUACUUCAUCAAAAGGAAAGCAAUCAAGAUUGCAUAUGCCAUGGAGCUUUUAGUAGCAGAUAUCAUAUUUAGUUAAGCAAUUAAGCUAAAGAAGCCUCAUGAGAUUAUGAACGGAACAUUAUGGAGAUAUUUUUUUUGGCUAUUGUGGAAGCCACAAAUGCAUAUCCUAGGUUUAUUACUCUUUAAAAAAAUUAUUACCACCAUAUCCCAUCCCCCUUAAAUCUACGAUCAUCAAGUAAUGCACACAAGGAAAUUAAAGUUUCUUUUGUCCAAAAUCAAACUCUCACCUAUCUCUUCUAGAGAAGAAUUUUCAUUGUCGUUGAUGGUUAGAUCUACUUGUCUCGCCCCUGCAUAAACUGUUGAAAAUUGAAUUCACUUCAGUAUUAAGAUUUGGGUUGAUUUAUAAGGCAUAGAAGAACUUGAACGCAAACUAUUUUCUUUCAUAAUAGGACAAAAUAUUAUGAUUGAAACCUGUAAAUAUUAAGGGAAAGUAAGCACGAGAAGUCCUUAAACAAUCCUUUAAAGUGCAAUAAGGAUUUUUUUAUUUCAUAACUUUAAAUCCAUCAAGAUUUAGAGUGCAACACCAAAAAUCUAUACCAAAAUUGUAUUUAAUUCUUAGCAAAGAAAUUAAACACACAAAAAGUAAUAGCAAAAAAUGGAUUUAAUCGAAGUGAAUUUGACAAGAUCAGCACAUACAAAUAUUGAAGCAGAAUUAACCAUUUUCAGAAAGGAACGUAAGGUGCAGAAAAGUCGAUGGCGGCACUUGAUUGGGUGUUGCGGAGGAAGAGCCACCGAAGGAGCCAACACAAGUUGACUCAACACAAGUAUGGACUUGGUCACUGCAAGCGGACGGAGGAGUCGGAUUACGCGGAAAGGGAUUGGAAAAUUUCAAAGGAAAAAUAUUUUAGAUGCCUCUUCACAACUUCUUUGGAAUUUUUUUGUUGAAUAUUUUACAAUACACUUAUAAAGACUCACUUUUAGAAUGAAUAAACAAAACCCUUUAAAAGCGUUGCCUAAAUUCUGUGGCGUAACACUUUCAGCAAAUACCACUCCUUAAAAGCGUAAGGUCAAAUUUAUUGUAGCGGGGGCAUCGGUAUACUAUUCAAUCAGUACUUCUUAAAGGUUUUUAGUGUUCACGGUGUCAAAUAAUUUAAAUUAAUCAUUUUAAGUAUAUGUAUGCAUACACAAGAUUCAUAUGAAAAUUUAGGGAAUCCAAUGACCCCAAAAAUGCACAUAGGUACGCCUCUGUCUCUAGACUGUGUAUUUCUAUAAAUAUAGUUUUUGUAUGAGAUAUAUUGGAAUUUGGGAUACUAUCCGCUCUUCAUAUGCACUAGAACUGAUAUAUGUGUGCAUCCAUCAGAUGGUGGGCUUACAUUUUGUCCGGGAUUUGGACAGUUUUGGCAAGAGGCCUUAUCUGUUUCCCUUCGUCCAAUUUUGUUUGACAAUCCAUGUUAGGCAUUUCGUCAGCUGAGGUUGAAUGGUUGAUAAUUGUCUUUACACAGAUAGUAGCCGGAUUUAUUGUUUACUUUUUAAAUCUGUAUAUAUGUGAAUAGUUAUGUAUAACUAUUCACAUAUUCCUUAUGUCUCAAUUUAUGUAAUAGUGUUCAAAUAUCGAGAGUAAAACAAAUUAUUUUUUGACCG